Molecule: long non-coding RNA, 913 nt
Organism: Lagopus leucura (white-tailed ptarmigan)
Lineage: Eukaryota; Metazoa; Chordata; Aves; Galliformes; Phasianidae
Exons: 5
Source: RefSeq, a predicted model, not a curated record
AGAGAUUGCUGCCCUAUGGGAAUUUUCAGCAAGCCCCUACCUUAGGGAACUGGUUUUUACAUGAAACAGACCUUCUUUUGAGUGAAUACCUGGAGCAUGCUGAUUGAAUAGAUACUGGAAGUAAUAAGAUGUUGUCCAACUACCAACUGCCAUAAGUAACAAAAAGAUCACAGCUCGUACAUUUGUUUUGCCUUUCACCAAAUUCUGAGAGUGUGGGGAAGUGGCUGUCACAAUGGAAGAGGAGGACCUGGUUCUGUAGUGGGUUCAAUCAUGAUGUGAAUUUUCAUCCUGGAAUGGCAAGACUGAAGUUCUCCUACGUUUCUGAGAGGUGUUAUCACAAAGGCUGAGAUAGAAUCAGAUACCCUAGGAAGUGAAGAGCUAGACAUGCAUUGUGGCUAAAGAACAGUUUCUGAAUUAGAGAACAUAUCAGCUUAAAAUACUCUUGUGAAGAGUGGACACAGAGAUAAUGCUAUUCUACAUAUGCAGAAUUUUGCCCUUUGAAUAUAUCUCAAAAGAUAUUUUCCAGGAAAAUUGGUCUUCUGCACAAUGGGAACACAGCUCAGUCUUCUGUAUCUCUCCAGCACUCAGUGAUGUGUACCUAAAUCUCUGUAAAACUCAUUUUGUACAGUCUUGAUAUAUUUGUAGUUCUCUAAAGCAGCUACUGACAGAUAACCAGUUAUUUCACUAUGAAGCCUAUAAUAGCUGUUUAUUUCCCAGUGAAACUUUGUCAAAACUGGCACCUGGAUACUGUGAUUGCUGCUGUACAAAUAGUUAUAACUGAUAAAGAAAACUAGCCUAAACAAUAUACUGCUGCUUCUGUAGAAGCAUGUGUGCAAAUACAUAAAUGGCUAAAAAUCCUGAUAGUUUCUCAUAUUUACAUGUGGGGCAUUUUUGUUUGCUUGUUUUUUAAUCC